GGAGAGAUGCCCGAGCUGGCCGAAGGGGCACGAUUGGAAAUCGUGUGUGCCUAACGGUACCGAGGGUUCGAAUCCCUCUCUCUCCGCCA
RNAcentral lists this transfer RNA (89 nucleotides) under Deltaproteobacteria bacterium. RNAcentral's name for it is "tRNA-Ser". It matches the Rfam family "tRNA". Rfam says of the family: Transfer RNA (tRNA) molecules are approximately 80 nucleotides in length. Their secondary structure includes four short double-helical elements and three loops (D, anti-codon, and T loops). Further hydrogen bonds mediate the characteristic L-shaped molecular structure. tRNAs have two regions of fundamental functional importance: the anti-codon, which is responsible for specific mRNA codon recognition, and the 3' end, to which the tRNAs corresponding amino acid is attached (by aminoacyl-tRNA synthetases). tRNAs cope with the degeneracy of the genetic code in two manners: having more than one tRNA (with a specific anti-codon) for a particular amino acid; and 'wobble' base-pairing, i.e. permitting non-standard base-pairing at the 3rd anti-codon position. The record is from RNAcentral. RNAcentral also lists the same sequence under 1 other name. Lineage: Bacteria; Pseudomonadati; Myxococcota; Myxococcia.